GAUAGCGAACAAGUACCGCGAGGGAAAGUUGAAAAGUACUUUGAAGAGAGAGUUCAAAAUUGGGGCGUGAAACCGCUUAGAAGAAAACGGACGGAGCCGUCAGGGGCCCUUGGGAAUCAGUCUAAUGAUACACGAACUUGCCGCAGUUCGGAACGCAAGUCCGACUGCGGUGCGAUCUAGUAGUGUUCACUGGGCGCAUUUCUCGAGGGUAAGCACUGCGACCGAUACGAAAGGCCAGGGAAGCGUUCGGAUUGAGGGCGAGACCUUUCGGGGUUCUCGUAACCAGUCCGUUCGUCUCUAAUCGUUGGACCGCAGUAUGUAUCGAGAGCCAAAGCAAAAUAUACGUCGGCGUAAACGCUCGUCGAGUAACGGAUAGUUGGUCAAUAGGUUGGUAUCUGCUCGCAGGUGCCGACUUAUUCGAUUCGGCUUUGAAGUUAUCGGCGACAUUACGACGUAUUGGCGUCGGCAGUGUCAGUGUCGGCCACCCGUCCGACCCGUCUUGAAACACGGACCAAGGAGUCUAACAUAUGCGCGAGCCAAUGGGUGGAAAACCCAAAGGCGCAAUAAAAGUAAACGCUUUUUCGGACAGGUAAGGUACGAUCCUAGAGUCGCGAGGCUUUGGGCGCAGUACCGUCCCGUCCCGACCGCAUAUCGGUAGGGCGGAGAUAGAGUGCAUACGUUGGGACCCGAAAGAUGGUGAACUAUGCCUGAGCAGAGCGAAGCCAGAGGAAACUCUGGUGGAGGUUCGUAGCGGGUUCUGACGUGCAAAUCGAUCGUCAGACUUGGGUAUAGGGG
RNAcentral lists this ribosomal RNA (795 nucleotides) under Ecumenicus monohystera. Its description in RNAcentral is "eukaryotic LSU rRNA". It matches the Rfam family "Eukaryotic large subunit ribosomal RNA", at positions 336 to 923 of the family's 3401-position model. The record is from RNAcentral. Lineage: Eukaryota; Metazoa; Nematoda; Enoplea; Dorylaimida; Qudsianematidae.